Molecule: ribosomal RNA, 465 nt
Filed under: uncultured bacterium
Lineage: Bacteria
Description: partial 16S ribosomal RNA
Rfam family: Bacterial small subunit ribosomal RNA
Source: RNAcentral
GACGAACGCUGGCGGCGUGCUUAACACAUGCAAGUCGAACGGUAAGGCCCCUUCGGGGGUACACGAGUGGCGAACGGGUGAGUAACACGUGAGCAACCUGCCCUUGACUCUGGAAUAACAGUUGGAAACAGCUGCUAAUACUGGAUAUUCAUCGUCUCCUUCCUGGGGGGUGGUGGAAAGCUCCGGCGGUCAGGGAUGGGCUCGCGGCCUAUCAGCCUGUUGGUGAGGUAAUGGCUCACCAAGGCUUCGACGGGUAGCCGGCCUGAGAGGGCGACCGGCCACACUGGGACUGAGAUACGGCCCAGACUCCUACGGGAGGCAGCAGUGGGGAAUAUUGCACAAUGGGCGCAAGCCUGAUGCAGCAACGCCGCGUGCGGGAUGACGGCCUUCGGGUUGUAAACCGCUUUCAGUAGGGACGAAGGGUGACUGACGGUACCUACAGAAGAAGGACCGGCUAACUACGUG